RNAcentral lists this ribosomal RNA (564 nucleotides) under Pseudomonas sp. ALE_F4. Its description in RNAcentral is "bacterial SSU rRNA". It matches the Rfam family "Bacterial small subunit ribosomal RNA", at positions 72 to 632 of the family's 1533-position model. The record is from RNAcentral. Lineage: Bacteria; Pseudomonadati; Pseudomonadota; Gammaproteobacteria; Pseudomonadales; Pseudomonadaceae.
ACUGGAGCUUGCUCCUGGACUCAGCGGCGNACUGGUGAGUAAUGCCUAGGAAUCUGCCUGGUAGUGGGGGAUAACGUCCNGAAACGNNCGCUAAUACCGCAUACGUCCUNAGGGAGAAAGUGGGGGANCUUCGGACCUCACGCUAUCAGAUGAGCCUAGGUCGGAUUAGCUAGUUGGUGGGGUAANGGCNNACCAAGGCGACGAUCCGUAACUGGUCUGAGAGGAUGAUCAGUCACACUGGAACUGAGACNCGGUCCAGACUCCUACGGGAGGCAGCAGUGGGGAAUAUUGGACAAUGGGCGAAAGCCUGAUCCAGCCAUGCCGCGUGUGUGAAGAAGGUCUUCGGAUUGUAAAGCACUUUAAGUUGGGAGGAAGGGCAGUAAGUUAAUACCUUGCUGUUUUGACGUUACCGACAGAAUAAGCACCGGCUAACUCUGUGCCAGCAGCCGCGGUAAUACNAAGGGUGCAAGCGUUAAUCGGAAUUACUGGGCGUAAAGCGCGCGUAGGUGGUUCAUCAAGUUGGAUGUGAAAUCCCCGGGCUCAACCUGGGAACUGCAUCCAAAA